AAUUAAGUAGUCUAAAAAGAUUUUAAAUUGCAAGUUUAAAGAUAAAUUUAUUAAUAAUUUCUUAGUUU
RNAcentral lists this transfer RNA (68 nucleotides) under Pissodes strobi. RNAcentral describes it as "tRNA-Cys". Lineage: Eukaryota; Metazoa; Arthropoda; Insecta; Coleoptera; Curculionidae. The record is from RNAcentral.